This is a long non-coding RNA of Marmota monax (woodchuck), 2653 nucleotides long. RefSeq lists it as uncharacterized. Lineage: Eukaryota; Metazoa; Chordata; Mammalia; Rodentia; Sciuridae. The record is from RefSeq and is a predicted model, not a curated record. The transcript is spliced from 2 exons.
UGGUAGAACUCUUGCCUAGCAUGUGGGUGGCCCUGGGUUAAUCCCCAGUACUGCCAAAACAAACAAAGAAUCAAACAAAUAAACACCCUUUCCUUGCUCAUGGCUAAACAAAACCAGGUGGAGAGCUGAAUGUGGCUUGCAGGCCAUAUUUUACCAAUUUCUGACCUCUGCUAUUGAGAAGAGAACACUGGGCUGCCAGGUUUCCGAUUUUGUAUUUAAGUAGCAAAUAGUACCUGAACAAAUGCCUGAGAAUAGUUGGUUUGACUGGGCCUUACUCAGCACAUCAUUUAACCUUCCUAAAUGGACAUAGUCACUCUCUUGUUUCCUUACAGCUGAGAAGCAGCCGGAAGCUAUGUAAGUGUAAGAGCCUCUUUGUCUUUAUGUAUAAUGGGUAAGUAAGUCAUCUCUCAUGGCAACCAAGAAUACAAGAUACAGGAUUCACCAUUAUGAAAUAAUAUUAGUCUCUGGCUGCUGUGACCAUUUUGUAUGGGGUUCUCUUGGGAGUUAGAACAAGGCUUUUAAAACAAAUAGACAAGGAAUAAAUGGUAUUAAAAUAAUCAAGGGAAAGUAAUCAAUCUGCCUAGAAUCUAGCAGCCAAGAGUAUCACAGAAGAUCUCUAUCCUGGGGGACUUAGGACUCCUCAAAGAAGCACCCGCCUCAUGUAGCUCCAAAGGAGAUUGGACUGGAGAGAGGUUUGUUCAUUCUAGCUGCUGAAAUCUCAUCUAACACCCCCAUUCUUUUUUUUUUUUUGAUAUUUAUUUAUUUAUUGGCGGACACAACAUCUUUGUUUGUAUGUGGUGCUGAGGAUCGAACCUGGGCCGCACGCAUGACAGGCGAGCGUGCUACCACUUGAGCCACAUCCUCAGCCCAUAACACCCCCAUUCUUUGGGGUACCUUUUAGCACAUCAGAAUCCUCCUAAUCUAGACUGCAUUUGUGAGAAGGUGAUACUUUAUAACCACUGUCCCAAUCUGCGUCCAUGAAGGAAUUUUGGCAGAGUGUUACUUUAUUUAUUCAGUCAGUCAGUCAGUUCAUACUUGUUAAGCUCUUCUUAUGAAGAAGACAUACCUAGACUUUGGGGAAAUGACUAGAGGUCCAGGGCUUGGGACAUCCUGAUUUUUGUGAUAGCUUCUACUUCAAUCAUGAGGGGAAGUAUGAUGAUGAUGGUGAUAGUAAUGAUAAUGAAGAUGGUGCUAGUGUUGGCCCUGGAGCUAGGGAGAGGGGAGAGGACAAAUCAGCAGAUGCAUGAAUGUCUUUAGGAAUGGGGUUGGUGAUGGAAGAGGGAAAAGUUCUGUAGAAAAAGUGAGCAAUCAAGGGAAAUUAGUGUAGAGUCCCCCCCCCCCAUCCAUGGUUUCGCUUGCCAUGGUUUCAGUUACCUGCAGUUAACCUUGGUCUAAAAAUAUUAAGUGGAAAAUUCCGGAAAUAAAUAAUUCAUAAGCUUUAAAUCACAUGCUUUUCUGAGUAGCUUGAUGACCUUUACGCUAUCCCCCUCCAUCUUGCUCAGGAUGUAAACAAUCCCUUUGCCCAGGGUCCAGCAUGUUCCAACUGUACACCACCUUACCUAUUAGUUACUUUUAGGUGUCUCAGUUAUCAGAUUGACUGUGGGGAGUGUCACAAGUAACCCUUAUUUUACUCAUUAAUGACCCCAAAGAACAAGGAUAGUGAUGCUACCAAUUUUAUUAUGGUAUAUUAUCAUUGCUGUGCUUAUUAGGUAUUGUUAUUAUUCCCUUACUUUUUAAAUUAAACUUUAACAUAGGUGUGUAUACCUAAAAAUAAACAUAGUAUAUGUGGGGCCCCACUCAGUCUGCAGUUUCAGCCAUCUUCUGGGGUCUGGGAACAUGUCCUCAGUGAAUAGUGGGGACUGCUGUAGCCAUGGCUACUGAUUGUUAACCACAGUGCAGUGGAUCAGCCAAAUGUCUUGGGAUCAGAAGACGUCAGCUCAAAUCCCAGCCUCAGAAAUUUACUAUUUGUGUCACCUUGGUGAAGUUAUUUCAAGUCUCUGAGCUUCAAUUUCUUUUUCCAGGAACCUGAAAUUUAAAUAUUCUUCUAAAAUUGUUUUUGCACAUCAAUAGUUCACACUAAUUCAAAAAAGAAUUGGCCCCACUGAAUGGGGUCAGAAACACUGAACUCCUUCAACUAUCCUGGUAGAUUAUUUUCUUCCCUUGUAUGCAAGGUAUGUGGUUCAGAGUAGAUGCUCCACAAAUGUUAGCAAUUGUCAUACAUAGUAUUUGUGAUAUUUGAAAUGUGAUGAGUUCCUUGUCAAGGCCAGAACUAAACAUGACUAUGGUGUGUUUGUGCUUGUGUGUGUGUGUGUGUGUGUGUGUGUGUGUGUGUGUGGUGUAUUAGGGACAGGGACAAACAGAGGAUUCAGAGUGCCCGAGAUUCAGAUGCCCUUUCAGCCUGUUCCCCACCCAAUGCCAACGGCCAUCUGCUCUGUGCAGCCGCCUGUCUGAGAGUGGAGGGUAUCCAUGGAAACCAGUAUGAAGGUUGCCAAGAGGAUUCUGUGGCAGCCUGCUAGAAGGCUGUCAGCAAGGCUUGUGGAGGUAGAGGACUGCAGCCAUGCCUGGAACACAGAGGAUCGGCAAUAAUUUUUCUUGAAUAAACAACUCUGUAAUGAAAAUCAAAUGCAUUUAUUAAACAGUUAUUCACCCCAAA